GUCUUUACAGGUUUUUAUCAUCUCUCAGUUGGAAGUACUUGUGGUCCAAAUGAAUCUAGAUCUUUUGGCGGAGAAUGUUGUCCAAUGUGCAAUAGAGGGUCAGUGGUGUACCUUGACCGCACUGGUGAUUUCAGUACAACAUGUAUACCCUGCAGUCCAGGAACAUUCGUCAAAGACUUUACAUCCAGAGUAAAUGCACUACAGUAAGAGACACCAUCUGUGAUGUACUUGAUGGAUAUCACUGUGUUCACUUCUCCAAUUCAGAGUGCCUUCAUGCUGAAAAACACAAGAGUUUGCAAACCAGGAUAAGAAACAAAAACACCAGAAGAAAAAAGCAACGUUUAUCCAGGAGCCUCAGCACAGGGCACUUGACCGGUAGCAUCAUUUUGAGUAGCCGCAUUCUGAAAUCCUGGCAAGUUUGUGGAGACCACCAUGCCA
RNAcentral lists this long non-coding RNA (438 nucleotides) under Sinocyclocheilus grahami. RNAcentral's name for it is "lncRNA (ENSSGRG00000027571.1)". Lineage: Eukaryota; Metazoa; Chordata; Actinopteri; Cypriniformes; Cyprinidae. The record is from RNAcentral.